Molecule: ribosomal RNA, 848 nt
Filed under: Microbacterium sp. RP-B1
Lineage: Bacteria; Bacillati; Actinomycetota; Actinomycetes; Micrococcales; Microbacteriaceae
Description: bacterial SSU rRNA
Rfam family: Bacterial small subunit ribosomal RNA
Source: RNAcentral
UGCUUAACACAUGCAAGUCGUACGAUGGAACCCAUAAUGCUGGGUGGAUUAGUGGCGAACGGGUGAGUAACACGUGAGCAACCUGCCCCUCACUCUGGGAUAAGCGCUGGAAACGGCGUCUAAUACUGGAUACGAGUCGCAACCGCAUGGUUAGUGACUGGAAAGAUUUUUUGGUGGGGGAUGGGCUCGCGGCCUAUCAGCUUGUUGGUGAGGUAAUGGCUCACCAAGGCGUCGACGGGUAGCCGGCCUGAGAGGGUGACCGGCCACACUGGGACUGAGACACGGCCCAGACUCCUACGGGAGGCAGCAGUGGGGAAUAUUGCACAAUGGGCGGAAGCCUGAUGCAGCAACGCCGCGUGAGGGAUGACGGCCUUCGGGUUGUAAACCUCUUUUAGCAGGGAAGAAGCGAAAGUGACGGUACCUGCAGAAAAAGCACCGGCUAACUACGUGCCAGCAGCCGCGGUAAUACGUAGGGUGCAAGCGUUAUCCGGAAUUAUUGGGCGUAAAGAGCUCGUAGGCGGUUUGUCGCGUCUGCUGUGAAAUCCCGAGGCUCAACCUCGGGCCUGCAGUGGGUACGGGCAGACUAGAGUGCGGUAGGGGAGAUUGGAAUUCCUGGUGUAGCGGUGGAAUGCGCAGAUAUCAGGAGGAACACCGAUGGCGAAGGCAGAUCUCUGGGCCGUAACUGACGCUGAGGAGCGAAAGGGUGGGGAGCAAACAGGCUUAGAUACCCUGGUAGUCCACCCCGUAAACGUUGGGAACUAGUUGUGGGGUCCUUUCCACGGAUUCCGUGACGCAGCUAACGCAUUAAGUUCCCCGCCUGGGGAGUACGGCCGCAAGGCUAAAACUCA